ACGGAGGGUGCAAGCGUUAUUCGGAUUUACUGGGCGUAAAGGGCGCGUAGGCGGUCUGAUAAGUCAGUUGUGAAAGCCCGGGGCUCAACCCCGGAAGUGCAAUUGAAACUAUCAGGCUUGAGUAUGGUAGAGGGAAGUGGAAUUCCAGGUGUAGCGGUGAAAUGCGUAGAUAUCUGGAGGAACACCGGUGGCGAAGGCGACUUCCUGGACCAAUACUGACGCUGAGGCGCGAAGGUGUGGGGAGCAAACAGG
RNAcentral lists this ribosomal RNA (252 nucleotides) under uncultured bacterium. RNAcentral's name for it is "partial 16S ribosomal RNA". It matches the Rfam family "Bacterial small subunit ribosomal RNA", at positions 525 to 776 of the family's 1533-position model. The record is from RNAcentral.